Molecule: ribosomal RNA, 212 nt
Filed under: Staphylococcus delphini
Lineage: Bacteria; Bacillati; Bacillota; Bacilli; Caryophanales; Staphylococcaceae
Also listed under: 1 other name
Description: partial 16S ribosomal RNA
Rfam family: Bacterial small subunit ribosomal RNA
Source: RNAcentral
UUUAUGGAGAGUUUGAUCCUGGCUCAGGAUGAACGCUGGCGGCGUGCCUAAUACAUGCAAGUCGAGCGAACAGAUAAGGAGCUUGCUCCUUUGACGUUAGCGGCGGACGGGUGAGUAACACGUGGGUAACCUACCUAUAAGACUGGAAUAACUCCGGGAAACCGGGGCUAAUGCCGGAUAACAUGUUGAACCGCAUGGUUCUACAGUGAAAG